UACGUAGGGGGCAAGCGGUUAUCCGGAAUCAUUGGGCGUAAAGCGCGUGUAGGCGGUUCCGUAAGUCCGCUCUGAAAGCCCAGGGCUCAACCCUGGGAGGCGGGUGGAUACUACGGAAACUGGAGUACGGAAGAGGAGAUUGGAAAUUCCUGGUGUAGCGGUGAAAUGCGCAGAUAUCAGGAGGAACACCAACAGCGAAGGCAGAUCUCUGGGACGUUACUGACGCUGAGACGCGAAAGCGUGGGGAGCAAACAGG
RNAcentral lists this ribosomal RNA (256 nucleotides) under uncultured bacterium. RNAcentral's name for it is "partial 16S ribosomal RNA". It matches the Rfam family "Bacterial small subunit ribosomal RNA", at positions 524 to 776 of the family's 1533-position model. The record is from RNAcentral.